AAACUUAAAGGAAUUGACGGAAGGGUACCACCAGGAGUGGAGCCUGCGGCUUAAUUUGACUCAACACGGGGAAACUUACCAGGUCCAGACAUAGUAAGGAUUGACAGAUUGAUAGCUCUUUCUUGAUUCUAUGGGUGGUGGUGCGUGGCCGUUCUUAGUUGGUGGAGUGAUUUGUCUGGUUAAUUCCGAUAACGAACGAGACUCUCCCCUGCUAACGGACCUUAGUGUUUUUCUAGACGGUGUGAUUCGGAGCAAGAGUCCAUGGGCGUAAGCCCCGGUCUCGGACGAUGUCCACUGAUCCUUGGUGCGUUGGUGUUCCGCGUGCCAUCGGAGAGUCGAGUGUUCGCAUUCUUCGCCUCUGUGGAUUUCUCGGUUCAUUGACAAAGCGCCUCGGAGUACGUUUCUUCUUAGAGGGAUUGACGACUUAUAAGUCGUAAGAAACAGGGAGCAAUAACAGGUCUGUGAUGCCCUUAG
Molecule: ribosomal RNA, 474 nt
Filed under: Malacostraca environmental sample
Lineage: Eukaryota; Metazoa; Arthropoda; Malacostraca
Description: bacterial SSU rRNA
Rfam family: Eukaryotic small subunit ribosomal RNA
Source: RNAcentral